CCUACGGGUGGCAGCAGUGAGGAAUAUUGGUCAAUGGCCGGAAGGCUGAACCAGCCAAGCCGCGUGAAGGACGAAGGUGCCAAGCAUUGUAAACUUCUUUUGUCAAGGGACAAAAUCAGGCUCGAGAGCCUGACCGAGGGUACUUUAAGAAAAAGCAUCGGCUAACUCCGUGCCAGCAGCCGCGGUAAUACGGAGGAUGCGAGCGUUAUCCGGAUUUAUUGGGUUUAAAGGGUGCGUAGGCGGGCUGUUAAUUCAGCGGUAAAAGCCCGGGGCUCAACCCCGGCGAGCCGUUGAAACUGGCGGUCUUGAGAUGUCGAGAGGUAUGCGGAAUGCGCAGUGUAGCGGUGAAAUGCUUAGAUAUUGCGCAGAACUCCGAUUGCGAAGGCAGCAUACCGGCGGCGAUCUGACGCUGAGGCACGAAAGCGUGGGUAUCGAACAGGAUUAGAUACCCGGGGAGUC
RNAcentral lists this ribosomal RNA (459 nucleotides) under uncultured bacterium. RNAcentral describes it as "partial 16S ribosomal RNA". It matches the Rfam family "Bacterial small subunit ribosomal RNA", at positions 338 to 795 of the family's 1533-position model. The record is from RNAcentral.